UGGGGAAUUUUGGACAAUGGGGGAAACCCUGAUCCAGCCAUGCCGCGUGGGUGAAGAAGGCCUUCGGGUUGUAAAGCCCUUUCGGCGGGAAAGAAAUGGUCCGUGCCAAUACCACGGACUGAUGACGGUACCCGCCGAAGAAGCACCGGCUAACUACGUGCCAGCAGCCGCGGUAAUACGUAGGGUGCGAGCGUUAAUCGGAAUUACUGGGCGUAAAGCGUGCGCAGGUGGCCUUUUAAGCCAGAUGUGAAAUCCCCGGGCUUAACCUGGGAAUUGCAUUUGGGACUGGAAGGCUAGAGUGUGGCAGAGGGGGGUGGAAUUUCCGGUGUAGCAGUGAAAUGCGUAGAUAUCGGAAGGAACACCGAUGGCGAAGGCAGCCCCCUGGGCUAACACUGACGCUCAGGCACGAAAGCGUGGGGAGCAA
RNAcentral lists this ribosomal RNA (424 nucleotides) under uncultured bacterium. RNAcentral's name for it is "bacterial SSU rRNA". It matches the Rfam family "Bacterial small subunit ribosomal RNA", at positions 355 to 771 of the family's 1533-position model. The record is from RNAcentral.